AUAUGGCUGCUGAAAUUAA
RNAcentral lists this unclassified non-coding RNA (19 nucleotides) under Dictyostelium discoideum. Lineage: Eukaryota; Evosea; Eumycetozoa; Dictyosteliales; Dictyosteliaceae. The record is from RNAcentral.